This 178-nucleotide long non-coding RNA is filed under the name Polistes fuscatus (common paper wasp). Its description in RNAcentral is "uncharacterized LOC122516475". The record is from RNAcentral. Lineage: Eukaryota; Metazoa; Arthropoda; Insecta; Hymenoptera; Vespidae.
CCAGUAUUUGGCUACCAGUAGUAGCAUCAUUUACAAGUGGACAUACCAAAUCUACCUAUUUGGAAAUGCUUGAUAAAGUUGAACCACCACAAAUACCAAUUGGUUAUGGAAUUAGUGUAGCUUAUGGAUGUCUAUUAGAUAUAAUACGAUCAAUUGCUCUUGCAAUUAAUGACACAAA